Non-coding RNA from Chelonoidis abingdonii (Abingdon island giant tortoise), 73 nucleotides. NCBI's taxonomy places the organism in Eukaryota, Metazoa, Chordata, Testudines, Testudinidae. The record is from the annotation of a RefSeq genome assembly.
GUUUCUGUAGUGUAGUGGUUAUCACAUUUGCCUCAUGCACACAAGGUCCCUGGUUCAAAACCAAGUAGAAACA